Molecule: non-coding RNA, 121 nt
Organism: Peromyscus maniculatus bairdii (prairie deer mouse)
Lineage: Eukaryota; Metazoa; Chordata; Mammalia; Rodentia; Cricetidae
Source: RefSeq, a predicted model, not a curated record
CUCCUCACUCUGACGCCUCCCCAAGAGUCCAUCUUUGCCAGACACAGACCUAUAAUCCCAGCUACCCAAGAGGCUCCAGGAAGUGGGGUGGGGUGUGUGUCUGAAAAAGAGUCCAUCCUUG